AAUGAACGCUGGCGGCGUGCCUAACACAUGCAAGUCGGAUGUGCCGCAAGGUGCAUGGCAGACGGGUGAGUAACGCGUGGGGAAUCUACCUCUUUGUGGGGAAUAACGCUCCGAAAGGAGUGGUAAUACCGCAUGAGAUCCAUGGCUGGGAUGCUGUGGAUGAAACCUGGGGAUCGCAAGACCUGGGGGCAAAGGAGAGGAUCCUGCGCCUGAUUAGCUAGUUGGUGAGGUAACGGCCCACCAAGGCAACGAUCAGUAGCCGGCCUGAGAGGGUGAUCGGGCCACACUGGAACUGAGACACGGGUCCAGACUCCUACGGGAGGCAGCAGUGGGGAAUAUUGGGGCAA
This 347-nucleotide ribosomal RNA is filed under the name uncultured bacterium. RNAcentral describes it as "bacterial SSU rRNA". It matches the Rfam family "Bacterial small subunit ribosomal RNA", at positions 29 to 371 of the family's 1533-position model. The record is from RNAcentral.